RNAcentral lists this ribosomal RNA (245 nucleotides) under uncultured bacterium. RNAcentral's name for it is "partial 16S ribosomal RNA". It matches the Rfam family "Bacterial small subunit ribosomal RNA", at positions 524 to 768 of the family's 1533-position model. The record is from RNAcentral.
UACGGAGGGCGCGAGCGUUAAUCGGAAUCACUGGGCGUAAAGCGCGCGCAGGCGGCCUUCCGAGUCCCGCGUGAAAGCCCCGGGCUCAACCUGGGAACGGCGCGGGAUACUGGGAGGCUGGAGUGCUGGAGAGGGGUGUGGAAUUUCCGGUGUAGCAGUGAAAUGCGUAGAGAUCGGAAGGAACACCAGUGGCGAAGGCGGCACCCUGGACAGACACUGACGCUGAGGCGCGAAAGCGUGGGGAG